GAACGCCGUGUGCCGUGAAAGUGGCACGCACGGUGUGGAUCGGGGGAAAAGGUGGAGAUAAUAUCAAAACCUUACCUAUCGAUAU
This 85-nucleotide non-coding RNA is filed under the name Bacillus sp. 196mf. Lineage: Bacteria; Bacillati; Bacillota; Bacilli; Caryophanales; Bacillaceae. The record is from RNAcentral.